Molecule: ribosomal RNA, 403 nt
Filed under: uncultured bacterium
Lineage: Bacteria
Description: partial 16S ribosomal RNA
Rfam family: Bacterial small subunit ribosomal RNA
Source: RNAcentral
AUUGAACGCUGGCGGCAGGCCUAACACAUGCAAGUCGAGCGAGCGGCGGACGGGUGAGCAAUGUAUGGGGACUGCCCGAUAGCGGGGGAUAACUACUGGAAACGGUGGCUAAUACCGCAUACUAUCGGAUAACCCAUAUGGGAUUAGCUAGUAGGUGGGGUAAAGGCUCACCUAGGCGACGAUCUCUAGCCGGUCUGAGAGGAUGAUCAGCCACACUAGGACUGAGGCACGCCCCAGACUCCUGCGGAGGCAGCAGUGGGGAAUAUUGCAGAAUUGGCGCAAGCCUGAUGCAGCCAUGCCGCGUGUAUGAAGGAGGCCUUAGGGUUGUAAAGUACUUUCAGCGGGGAGGCGUUACCCGCAGAAGAAGCGCCGGCUGACUCCGUGCCAGCAGCCGCGGUAGUUC